GCCAGAGAAUUACGAGCAAACUCAAAACUCAAAGGACUUGACGGUGUCCCAAAUCAACCUAGAGGAGCCUGUCCUAUAAUCGAUAAUCCACGCUACACCUCACCCCCUCUCGAAACCAGUCUGUAUACCGCCGUCUCCCAGUUCGCUUUAUGACAGACCCAUAGCGAACACAGCAGCCCACCACUCAAACGUCAGGUCAAGGUGCAGCUAAUGGGGGGGGCAGCGAUGGGCUACAUUUUCUGCAACAGAACACCACCAACCACCAUAUGAAACAUGGGUCACAAGGCGGAUUUAACAGUAAGCCAGACAAGAAUGUUUGACUGAAGCCUGCUCUGGG
This 337-nucleotide ribosomal RNA is filed under the name Tarentola mauritanica (Moorish gecko). RNAcentral describes it as "partial 12S ribosomal RNA". It matches the Rfam family "Bacterial small subunit ribosomal RNA", at positions 871 to 1378 of the family's 1533-position model. Lineage: Eukaryota; Metazoa; Chordata; Lepidosauria; Squamata; Phyllodactylidae. The record is from RNAcentral.